UUUCCUGGAAACACAGAAGAGUCUCCUAGUUUUGGGCCAAGUUCAGCUGAGGGAACACUCCUUGGAGUGACCACAGCCCUAAAUGCCCUGAAAAGGGCCUGAAUUAGCCCCCUCCCUCAUCUGGCAGUUUAUUCCUGUUGGGGAGGACCUGCCCUUUUCUGUUCCCUGAUGACAGAGUCACCACAGGCACGGCAAGGGAUCCUCAGCAUGCCCCAGAUGGAGACACACCUGAAGUGACUGGAUUCUGCCAAAGGAGCGGUGUCUCAGCUCCAUCCAGCCUCUGUUUUGGUCAGCCUUUCCAAGGCGUCAGGAGCAGGAAAUCCCAGCCAGGACUCUGGCUGUAUCCUAUCCCAGCCCUCCCCAGGUAAGAACUGCCCCAGUGCCCUGCCUAAGGCGUCAGGAGCAGGAAAUCCCAGCCAGGACUCUGGCUGUAUCCUAUCCCAGCCCUCCCCAGGUAAGAACUGCCCCAGUGCCCUGCCUAAGGCAUCAGGAGCAGGAAAUCCCAGCCAGGACUGGCUGUAUCCUAUCCCAGCCCUCCCCAGGUAAGAACUGCCCCAGAGCCCCACUGGGACUGCCCCAGUGCCCUGCCUAAGGCAUCAGGAGCAGGAAAUCCCAGCCAGGACUGGCUGUAUCCUAUCCCAGCCCUCCCCAGGUAAGAACUGCCCCAGAGCCCCGCUGUGACUGCCCCAGUGCCCUGCCUAAGGCGUCAGGAGCAGGAAAUCCCAGCCAGGACUGGCUGUAUCCUAUCCCAGCCCUCCCCAGGUAAGAACUGCCCCAGAGCCUGGCUGUGACUGCCCCAGAGCCCUGCCUAAGGCGUCAGGAGCAGGAAAUCCCAGCCAGGACUGGCUGUAUCCUAUCCCAGCCCUCCCCAGGUAAGAACUGCCCCAGAGCCCUGCCUAAGGCGUCAGGAGCAGGAAAUCCCAGCCAGGACUGGCUGUAUCCUAUCCCAGCCCUCCCCAGGUAAGAACUGCCCCAGAGCCCCGCUGGGACUGCCCCAGUGCCCUGCCUAAGGCAUCAGGAGCAGGAAAUCCCAGCCAGGACUCUGGCUGUAUCCUAUCCCAGCCCUCCCCAGGUAAGAACUGCCCCAGAGCCCCACUGGGACUGCCCCAGUGCCCUGCCUAAGGCGUCAGGAGCAGGAAAUCCCAGCCAGGACUCUGGCUGUAUCCUAUCCCAGCCCUCCCCAGCCCCAGCCCCUGCCCCAGAGCCCCACUGGGACUGCCCCAGCGCCCUGCCUAAGGCGUCAGGAUCAGGAAAUCCCAGCCAGGACUCUGGCUGUAUCCUAUCCCAGCCCUCCCCAGGUAAGAACUGCCCCAGAGCCUGGCUGGGACUGCCCCAGUGCCCUGCCUAAGGCGUAAGGAGCAGGAAAUCCCAGCCAGGACUGGCUGUAUCCUAUCCCAGCCCUCCCCAGGUAAGAACUGCCCCAGAGCCUGGCUGUGACUGCCCCAGUGCUCUGCCUAAGGCGUCAGGAGCAGGAAAUCCCAGCCAGGACUGGCUGUAUCCUAUCCCAGCCCUCCCCAGGUAAGAACUGCCCCAGAGCCCCGCUGUGACUGCCCCAGUGCCCUGCCUAAGGCGUCAGGAGCAGGAAAUCCCAGCCAGGACUGGCUGUAUCCUAUCCCAGCCCUCCCCAGGUAAGAACUGCCCCAGAGCCUGGCUGUGACUGCCCCAGUGCCCUGCCUAAGGCAUCAGGAGCAGGAUAUCCCAGCCAGGACUCUGGCUGUAUCCUAUCCCAGCCCUCCCCAGCCCCAGCCCCUGCCCCAGAGCCCACCUGCAUGCCAGGAGGAGGGGGGUCUCUGCGGACCAGCAUGCUGAGCUCCUGGGCGUUGCAGAGCAGGGCGCUGACGGCCUCCUGGUGCGUGGCGUGGCGCAGGUCGGUGCCGUUCACCUCCAGGAUCCUGUCCCCGACGCGGAGCCCGCUGCGCGACGCCAGCCCCCGCGGGAUCACCUGCGGGCACACCAGCACCUCCAGAGAAGGGCAGUCCUCUCGGGAGGGGCUUUACAGCCACUUCUGUGAGCCAGAGAGAAGUCUGAUAACAGCACCCAUGGGUACCCCUGGGAGAAUUUCCUGCCAAGGUCGCUGACACAGAGAGCACGAAGGAAAGAAGGAUAAAUAAAGAAACCUGCAACUGCCUAUUCCAAUGAGCACUCUGUCUGCCUCUUGUGAUCAGUGAGUAAAGUGUGAAUUUAUGAGUUUUGUAAGAAUGCUGUUGAAACCCUGAACACCCAGUGCACCACAGCACAUUCUGUCUGCUCUGGGGUGCCCUGAUCCCAGGGCAGCUCUGACUCUGACCCUCACUCCUGGAGAAAGUUUCCCAGACUUCCAGACAGACUGGAACCCACAAAAGUGUGCAAUAGAUUAUAGAGAGCAGUGUGGGUGUGUCACUGGGUGAGAAAUUGAGGGUUUGGGGUUUUUAGUGUGUUGUGGAUGGAAGGAGAUGGAGAGCACAGGGUGUUGUCCUGGGUUUCUUCUUCACCUUCUUCUUCCUCCUUCUCCUUGGGUUUGGGUGGCAUUUUGUAAUUGGGCAGAAAAGUCCCCAUUGCAGCUCUGUGGGAUCAGUCAUUGGGUUAAAAGGGAAAAUAAUCCAGGUGUCAGCUCUUAAUGGGAUAGUUUAGCCUUAAAACACCCUGUACCAAGAGAUUGUUGGCCAUUUUGUGCCUUCUAAUGAAAGGCUGCCCAACUGACAGCAGUGAGACUGUUUUACUGCUAGGAAAUAAUUAACACCUGAGUCUGAACAUGAAUUCCUGUCUCAAGCGCCUUCAGUCCAGACCCAGAGAAACCCACAGCUGGGACCCUGACAGAAUGUAUAAAAAGCAUGGAUGCUGUAAUAAAAACAGUUUGAAGCCUUC
This is a long non-coding RNA of Haemorhous mexicanus (house finch), 2844 nucleotides long. RefSeq lists it as uncharacterized. The record is from RefSeq and is a predicted model, not a curated record. NCBI's taxonomy places the organism in Eukaryota, Metazoa, Chordata, Aves, Passeriformes, Fringillidae. The transcript has 2 exons.